Molecule: ribosomal RNA, 253 nt
Filed under: uncultured bacterium
Lineage: Bacteria
Description: partial 16S ribosomal RNA
Rfam family: Bacterial small subunit ribosomal RNA
Source: RNAcentral
UACGUAGGGGGCAAGCGUUGUCCGGAUUUAUUGGGCGUAAAGAGCGUGUAGGCGGCCUGGAAGGUCAGCUGUGAAAACUCGAGGCUCAACCUCGAGACGUCGGUUGAAACCACCUGGCUAGAGUCCGGAAGAGGAGUGUGGAAUUCCCGGUGUAGCGGUGGAAUGCGCAGAUAUCAGGAGGAACACCGGUGGCGAAGGCGGGUCUCUGGGCAGUAACUGACGCUGAGGAGCGAAAGCGUGGGGAGCGAACAGG